UACGUAGGGGGCAAGCGUUGUCCGGAUUCAUUGGGCGUAAAGAGCGUGUAGGCGGCCAGGUAGGUCGGUUGUGAAAACUGGAGGCUCAACCUUCAGAGGUCGACCGAAACCAUCUGGCUAGAGUCCGGGAGAGGAGAGUGGAAUUCCUGGUGUAGCGGUGAAAUGCGCAGAUAUCAGGAAGAACACCCGUGGCGAAAGCGGCUCUCUGGAACGGUACUGACGCUGAGACGCGAAAGCGUGGGAGCGAACAGG
Molecule: ribosomal RNA, 252 nt
Filed under: uncultured bacterium
Lineage: Bacteria
Description: partial 16S ribosomal RNA
Rfam family: Bacterial small subunit ribosomal RNA
Source: RNAcentral